UCAAAACCUUUCUAGCACUAAUAAAGGGUCGUUCAUCCUGAUAAAUGUUCUGCUGAUAAACUUCAUCUCCAAGAAGGGCCAAGUUUUCUUGAUAACAGAAGCGCAAUAUUUCCCUUAAAUUAGCUUCACUAAGACACUGACCAGUGGGGUUGCCUGGGUUGAUAAUGACCAUUGCUCUUACAGUUAUUCCUUUACAGCGCGCUUGAAAAACUGCAUGCCGCAGAUCAUUAAUAUCA
This 236-nucleotide unclassified non-coding RNA is filed under the name Hevea brasiliensis (rubber tree). Lineage: Eukaryota; Viridiplantae; Streptophyta; Magnoliopsida; Malpighiales; Euphorbiaceae. The record is from RNAcentral.